RNAcentral lists this non-coding RNA (30 nucleotides) under Mus musculus (house mouse). Lineage: Eukaryota; Metazoa; Chordata; Mammalia; Rodentia; Muridae. The record is from RNAcentral.
UACAAAUGUUUUGCCUGCAUUUAAGUACGC